This 357-nucleotide unclassified non-coding RNA is filed under the name soil metagenome. RNAcentral's name for it is "partial contains 5.8S ribosomal RNA, internal transcribed spacer 2, and large subunit ribosomal RNA". The stretch from base 1 to 120 matches the Rfam family "5.8S ribosomal RNA", at positions 35 to 154 of the family's 154-position model. The record is from RNAcentral.
GAUGAAGAACGCAGCGAAAUGCGAUAAGUAAUGUGAAUUGCAGAAUUCAGUGAAUCAUCGAAUCUUUGAACGCACAUUGCGCCCGCUGGUAUUCCGGCGGGCAUGCCUGUUCGAGCAUCAUUUCAACCCUCAAGCUCUCCGGAGUUUGGUGUUGGGGCGCCUGGGGCUUUUCGACCUCAGGGCCCUCAAGUCCAUCGGCGGGACCGCCAGGACACUGAGCGCAGUAGUAUUAUUUCGCUCGGUAGGAUCUUCCACGGCGGGUCGAUCUGGCCGCUAAACCCCCCAAUUCUCACCAAAGGUUGACCUCGGAUCAGGUAGGAAUACCCGCUGAACUUAAGCAUAUCAAUAAGCGGAGGA